CCUACGGGAGGCAGCAGUGGGGAAUAUUGCACAAUGGGGGAAACCCUGAUGCAGCGACGCCGCGUGAGUGCAGAAGUCAUUCGUUAUGUAAAGCUCUAUCAGCAGGGAAGAAAAUGACGGUACCUGAGUAAGAAGCCCCGGCUAACUACGUGCCAGCAGCCGCGGUAAUACGUAGGGGGCAAGCGUUAUCCGGAUUUACUGGGUGUAAAGGGAGCGUAGACGGCAUUGCAAGUCUGGAGGGAAAGGCGGGGGCUCAACCCCCGGACUGCUCUGAAAACUGUACGGCUGGAGGGCAGGAGAGGUAAGUGAAUUCCUAGUGUAGCGGUGAAAUGCGUAGAUAUUAGGAGGAACACCAGUGGCGAAGGCGACUAUCUGGAACAUAACUGACGCUGAGGAGCGAAAGCGUGGGGAGCAAACAGGAUUAGAUACCCUGGUAGUC
This 439-nucleotide ribosomal RNA is filed under the name uncultured bacterium. RNAcentral describes it as "partial 16S ribosomal RNA". It matches the Rfam family "Bacterial small subunit ribosomal RNA", at positions 338 to 795 of the family's 1533-position model. The record is from RNAcentral.